Molecule: ribosomal RNA, 1338 nt
Filed under: Caridina longshan
Lineage: Eukaryota; Metazoa; Arthropoda; Malacostraca; Decapoda; Atyidae
Description: 16S ribosomal RNA
Rfam family: Bacterial large subunit ribosomal RNA (bases 904-1262)
Source: RNAcentral
AUAGAAAGUUGUUAAAUUGGAAUUUCUUAAAUUGUUUCUUACCUUUAUUAAUGGAUAAUAGAUAUUUUAAAUAAAAAAUUGUGUUUUUUGGGAGUAAGUAUGGUAGUGAAAAGUUAGUUUGAGGUUGUAGUUUAGUUUGGUACCGUGAGGGAUUGUUAUUUAUUUAGCAAAAAGAAAAAUUUUAUUUUUGUACCUUUUGUAUCAGGGACAAUCAAAAUAAUCAAUUUAUUGGUUGAUUUCUCGAAAUGGAAUGAGUAAAUAUAUUAUUAUCGUUUAUGUGGAAAAAUAAAAUUAUCAAUAAUGUAUUAGUGGUGAAACGCCAGUCGACUUUCUUUUAUCUAGUUUUUUCUGAAACAAAUUUAAUUUGACCUUUUAUUAUUAAAAAAUAAAAGUUAGAUCUUAAGAGGGAUAAGCUUCUUAAGUGGAAUAGGGCUAAAAAUAAAUGAUUCUUUUAUUUAGGCUUAAGAUCAGCCAUAUUUUUAUAUCGUUUUAGAUAAUAGGGGUAUAAAUGAUUAUUUAUAUAUUGCCUACAUUAAAUAGGAAAAAUUUUAUUUUAAUUUAUUUUUUAAUUUUAAAAUGAUUGUAUUAGUAUAUAAUAUUUUGUUAAAAAAAAAAUUAAAUUAUUAAUUUAAUUUUAUAGUUAAGUGAAGCUAUAGUUAAAGAACUCGGCAAAUUUUACUUCUGCCUGUUUAUCAAAAACAUGUCUGUGUGGAGGUAUUGAUACACAGUCUGGCCUGCCCCCUGAAAAAUUUAAAGGGCCGCGGUAUUUAAACCGUGCUAAGGUAGCAUAAUAAAUAGUCUUUUAAUUGAGGUCUAGUAUGAAUGGUCGGACAGGAAGUAAGCUGUUUUAAUUGUAAAAUUUGAAUUUUACUUUUAAGUGAAAAGGCUUAAAUUAGAUAGGGGGACGAUAAGACCCUAUAAAGCUUUACAUUUUAUUUGUUAGUUGUAGGAUUUAAGGUUUUUUAUUCUUGUCAAAUAAAAAUGUUUCGUUGGGGCGACGAGAAUAUAAAAUGGUAACUGUUUUUAUAAGAAAAUAAAUUUUUUUAGGAGUAUUGAUCCUUUGUAGAGAUUAGAAGAAUAAAGUUACUUUAGGGAUAACAGCGUAAUUUUUCUUGAGAGUUCAUAUCGACAGAAAUAGUUGCGACCUCGAUGUUGAAUUAAGAUUUCUCCUAGGUGUAGCAGUUUUGGAGGUGGGUCUGUUCGACCUUUAAAAUCUUACAUGAUUUGAGUUCAGACCGGCGUGAGCCAGGUUAGUUUCUAUCUUUUAUUUAUAUAGUGGUUAUUUUAGUACGAAAGGAGAGAGUAGCUAAAAAAUUUUUUUUAAAAAGGUGGACGGUA